Cygnus olor (mute swan) is the source of this 5193-nucleotide long non-coding RNA. RefSeq lists it as uncharacterized. The record is from RefSeq and is a predicted model, not a curated record. The transcript has 3 exons. Lineage: Eukaryota; Metazoa; Chordata; Aves; Anseriformes; Anatidae.
UAUGCUGGAGGGGUGCUGGUCAGCUGUGUCUCUGGCCAGAACACCUACAGGUCUGGGUGUUGACCUGUACGCUGAGUUCCUGGCUUGACCUCAGAACCCUCCUGUCACUGUGUACAUCUGUUGUUUGCUGGGGUGUGUUUGACCCUGGUUGCCAUCACUGGACCUGGUUCUGACCAGUGGGUUGGCUUCUAGCUUGACCUUGGAUCUGCCUCAUCCCCAUGGACUUUCCUUAUGACCUGACUGAAGACCUGGGCUCAUGAUUGAACUUGACUGCUGUCUCUGGACCUGCUCUGCUGGCUGUGUUGCUGUGUGGGGCUUGCUGGCCCUUUGGGGGCUUCUGUGUGCUGACCCCCCUUUUCUUUGCCAGGCAGACCUUGGAGCAGUAAAGACUUCUAGGUAUUCUGUAUGAAAUUCCCAUUUCUCUGAAGCCCUUUGAGCUUUGCUUCUAAAUCUAAUGGAUAUAUCUAGAAGAGAUGGAGUCCCCAGAUAACCAAACUUUAGCUUAAUCCCAAAGCAGUACCACUUCUUUUUUUGGAAUAAGCCUCACUAGAGGAAUUCAUCAUGUUCCUUCAAUAACUUGCAAGAUGCAGGAGGCAGUGUUGAGCUGCUGUGAGCAGGAGAGCCAGAGCCUUGCUUAGAGUGGCAGGUUUCCAAACCACUUUGUAUGCUGUGUAUUUGGGAUUUGAAAAGAGGGAGGAAUUUUUCUUUUCCAGUGCUUCCUGAGAACAUCGCAUGCAUCAUAUAUUUCAGGCCCUGAGUCCAACCCAGAUGAUGUGUGAGCAGUGUCCCUGAGCUCAGCAGGGACUCAGUGCCCAGUAAGUGAUGCUGUGAUGUUUCCUUACAAGAACAGUAUUACCUUACAGAGGCUAAUCUUCCUUGGCCUACAGAAAGAGGAAUGCUGAGAGUGAUCUGGAGCAGGAGCUGGUUUUCAGGACAUCUUCCCUCUCCAUCAGCUGUAGGACAUGAGAGAACAGCCACCUGUGGAAGUGGUAACUGAGCCUGCUGUACGUGCUGAUGUGGACUUGGCAGCUUCCCAUGUGACUGAGGAGGAAUGAACCGCCUCUCAGUUGUCUUGUUGCAAGUGUUGGGCUGAAGAUGCUGAAUGCUACCUGCAUCAAGGACCUCUGCAAGGAUCCUUUGCUGUGGCCAGAAACCUUUGUAUGGGAAUGAGUGCAUGUGUCCAUCCGUCUCUGAAUGUUUUGCUUGGAUUUUGCACGUUUCUUUCUACUUCAAUCAGCCAUUCUCAGUAAGUCUAAAUUGAAUGCAGCUUGUACGUGUACUUUGGGCAGCAUGGCCGUAAACAAAAUGGGGUGAUUUGCUGCUGGAAAUGCUGGCUGGGGCACUUUUAGGGCUAUGGGGGUCAACUCUGCUAACAGUGCCAACUUUCACACUGUCCUUCCCCUUUCUCCCUCUUCCUCAUCUCAGUUUACAUCAUAUGGCCUUUGACUUACUGAGAAAUAUUACUUGUUUUUUGUGUUGGUUUUUUUUUUUGGAAAAUUUUCUCACUAAUGGUCACCCAGGGGAGGUGUUGUAGGGUAAAUAUAUCUGUUUUAUUUUGAGGAAAUUUGCAUAGGCAACCAUAAUACUUGCAUUUCUGAGAGUCUGUCUUCUUACCUAGCUUGCCAUUUGCACACAGGGCUCCUGAGACUCUCUGGUAGCUCCUGCACAUGCAAAAUGUGUUUUGUUGAGCGAACAUCAAUGCUUUGUGGAUGUGAACUUGUAUAUACAAAAUCAUGACUUAAAAGGAGGGAUACCACUGAGAUUUGAGGGUCUAUCCAUUCCUCACAUCACAAAGCCCUAAAAGUGGCCUUGGAAAUCAAGGCUGGCAGAAGUGAUAACACAAGAUUUUUUAUUUUAUUUUUUUCUAACCAGCAAAGGAUGGGAGGGUGGAAAUCAAAAGGUGAUCUUCGGUAAAUUUAGCAGUUGUUCACAGUGGAAUAUAGCAAGCUUGGUGCCACAUGAGAGCUGCACUGACAUCAGCCCACACCAAAGUUCUUCCAACGACAUCAGUGUUGAAUUUCAUUCAGGACGUAGUACCUGAAUAACUGAUGGUAGGCCAAGGGGCUUCCCCACUACCUGCCACUUUUAUUAGGUUGCUUAUGCUUCUGUUGUGCAGGCUUGCAGGCAGCUCCCUGCAGAGCACAAAGAGAAGAACAAAUAUCUGUUCUGGGGGUUUCUGUUCUUCUGACCUGUAAGAGUAAAUGAAAGAGCAUGAUGCACAGCAGAUGAGGGAAAAGCGGUAAAUCCACCAGUUUUAGUAUUACUUCUCACUUUCUUUGUUGCAGGAGAAUUUUGGAACGCUUUUGGUCUCUUUUGCUGAUGUGAAACUUAACUGCUUCACUGGGGCUGGGGGUGAACUACUACCCUUGCAAAUGCAUAUGUAAAAUUGCGGGCACAGAUGCCGAGCUCAUUUGCACAUUGCAGUUUCCUGGGCAGCCUGUGCAAACAUCUGAUCUGUGCGUGUAGCUGAGCUGUGAGCAGCAUUAUACCUGACUUCUCAUUGUAUGGGUUCUCUCUACAACUAGAAAGUCAGCAAAAGCCCUGCAAGUGCACAGCUCACGAUUUUCCUGCUGCCUCCCAUUAUGUUACACGUAAGCACGGAUUUUGUUUCCUUUGCUCUUCUGUUGCAAUCACUCCAUUUAUAACCCCUGGCGUGCUUUGUUUUAUAAUACCCUAAUCCUUGCAGGCUUCUGCUCCACUUUUCCUCCAGGGAGCCUGAAUUGAACCCUUCAGCUACCUAUGGAAAUUGCACACCUGCUUCUUGGUGCUCCUUGCCAAGUGCUGUAACAUUGCUUCCUCUCAUCAGCCAUUUCUGGCACAGGACUUGAAAUCUCUCCUAAAGUGCAUCUUUGCUCAGUUGGAAAACCCUCAUAGGUUUUGGACACAGGUUUGUAUGGCAUCUGAUAUCACGAAACACCUAGAACCGUUUUUUCCAUCCCUUUGCAUCGACCAGUAACUGACACACACGUUCCUGCCUGUAGGAUCAUUAUCCUCUGUCUGCCCCCACAACAGCCUCAUCAGUCAGGGUUAGCCUUGCAACCAUUAAGGAAACUUUAACAAAGCCUGUUCUGCUGAAAGCGAACAUCUUGAUGAGGCCCAAUUUAUUUCACAGUUGUUAUCCUGCUGACCUAAAAUGACAGCAUGACACUUGGAGCGGUGCCUGGUUUAUUUAAGAAGCAAGCACAGAAUUGUGUCUUGUGGCCUGCAGAAGGAACGGAGCUGCACGAGGUGCUCCCAGCUCCUGGUCCUAGCAGCUCCCGCCCCCAGAAUCUCACUGUGGCUUUUCUCAGGGCCAGUCCAGAUGGCGUUGCUUUUAGCUGUUUUUAAUAGUUCCAGUCUGUGCUUCACACAUCCCUUCAGGAGCACGCAGAGGGCUGGGAGGGCAUUCCGUGGUGACCCAGGAUGACAUGUCUGCUGUUUGGGGCAGUGCCUGGGCUCCCUGGGGACUGAGACUUGCCCAGUAGCACAGUCCCGGCCAUCGUUGAGACCCUGCCUGCAGCUGUCUGAUGGACCACAUUCCUCUGGUCAUGGCGUGCUUGGUCCUCAGGGUCUGCCACAGAGAGAGAUGGGGCACGGUGCAAGGACAAGGGGCUGGAGUUGCAGGCUGCAGCGUGGGGAAAUCCAUCUGUUUUUUAAGAGAAAAAUUGCAAUGAGGAAAGAGUGGAACAGUGCUCAGGGCGGUCGUGUGAUCUCCAGCCUUGGAGAUCCUUAAAACUCACCUGGGUAAGGCCCAGAGCAAGCCCAUCAAAUUUUGAAGCCAGAGGUUGGACUAAAGCUCUGCAAAUAUCCCUCCCAAAUGAAGGUGCUCCAUGAAAAAGGAGUUAAACGUGUGCCGUGCACUUCAGCUCAAAUUCUGGAUCAGCUUCCCAGCUGCUUUUGUCCUGGGAAAUGAGAUGGGCUUGUCUUCCUAUGAGAUUAAGCUCUUGUGAGAGUUCCUGCUUUUACAAAAGACUGAAGUGUUUUCUUAUCUUAAAUAAAGUGGUUAUUUUCCUAGCUUUAUUGGGAUUAAUCUAUCCACUGCAACAUCUAUUGUCAAGCUAGCUGCUGUACAAUUUGCACAGGAAAAGCCCAUGUCAGUCUAGCAGAAGGGACACCUUCCAUGCUUUUGUCUGGUAGCGGCAGCUUUUAGACACAAGUGAGAGCCGGGAGGGUGAUCUGAGAUCCACCACAAUUAGGAGCCCUUUGGGAGCAUAAAACGUCAUUGUGCUGCGGUGCUAGCUUCACAUUAGCUUCACAUUUCCUGGAUCCUGCUUAAUUCUCUCUCAUCUCCAGGCCCCCUGUGGUCAUUCUCAUGUUUUUGUAGGUCUUUGAAACCUCCUGUAGUCUUCAAAUAAUUCAUGCCAUCUUCCAGCCUCAGAGUUUUCAUCUGAGUGUCCCCAGAUCAAGAUAAGAUGUGAGAAGUUCAAUGUCACAAAGGCAAAGAAAAUGCUGUGUGCAAGGCCCCGUGCUGGGGAAUGGCGCUGAGAGAUGUUGCUUGCUGGUUUUACUUGUGCUGCCCCUCAUGGGGGGCUACUCCAGCCCUUCUGGGCUCUGAGAGCCCUUCUGAGCUCUGGAGAUGUUCCCCUUGUUUCCAGCACCAAGACCUCAGCACCACGCACGGUGUCAGCCUGAAGUUUCCUCAGGCCAUAGCAGAGCUCACAGCCCCACUGCUGUCACCCAGCAGGGUCUCACAAGAAGAAGCAUGUUUGCUUGAUUAAGGGAGCUGGAGAAGGCACGAGAAGCCACGUAAUUUGUAUAGUGGACACCAGGAACUGCAGGAAUCUUGACUAAUUUGUGUGGCUGGCUUUGGCCUUAGAUAAGAUGGUACAAACCCAUUACAGGAGACAAAGCAAAGAGCUGUGUGCACAGAGGAAAACUGAGGAUCACUGGGAUCGAGAGCUUAAAGAUCGUGUUUGUGAAUGCAGGGUCCAAGCGUUGGCUGUGAUAUAUUAAAGGUGCCAUGUGAAUGCCUCAGGCUUUCAGCUUGUUUUAUCCCUUCCCAUACCUAUAGGGGGCUACAGGAGAGCUGGGGAGGGAUUCUUUGUUGGGAGUGACAGGACAAAGGGGAAUGGCUUUAAACUAAAAGUGGGUAGGUUUAGAUCAGACAUUAGGACGAAAUUCUUCCCUCAGAGGGCGGUGAGGCCCUGGCCCAGGCUGCCCCGGGGAGCUGUGGGUGCCCCAUCCCUGGAGGUGCCCGAGGCCAGGCUGGAUGGG